UCCAUCUCUGCCUCUUCCAGACGCGUCACCACUCUUCACCCACCAUUCCAGUGCCGAUCCAUCCGAGGGAGAGCAUCCUCGCUGCCCUUCUCCACUGUUUCUCCAUCGCCGGCUGCGAAUAAGACGAUGGCCGGAAUCGUUGAUGAGCCGCGGUCGUUUCCUCUUCUCUUGCGUUCCAUACUCUCCUCACCAUGCCGAAUAUUUCUUCUUUUGAUUUCAUCCUCUCUGGUGCAGCCAAUCGACGGGAACGCUGCUGUGCACACCGGAGCUUUGGAGCGCGCUCUGCGCACCGCCGCAGCGACAUCGUCGCUGUUGCCAUCAAUCUAGAUCAAGCCGGAGCGAGCCACCACGCCACCAGCUUCACCUCAACCUCCUCUCCAUUUACCCUCAAGAAACCCAUCCAAUGGCGCAGCGAUCUUGGAGGUCGACAUCGUGUUUUCCAACUCCGUUCAACCGCUUCCAUCAUCGAUUCCAUUCUCUCUGAUCGAGCAGCCGACGUCAUCCCUGGAGUUGUGCCAUGCCGCCAUGGAGCUUCGCCGUCGCUGUGAAUCUGCAGACAUCCCCAGCCUUGUCUAGCAUCUCGAUGAUUGCUUAAACGGUGAAGAAGUAAUUUAGGUGCUAACAUUUUCCUGAUUCAAGGCAAGUCCCACCUCCAUCUCUUUGAUCACUUUGAACCUAUGUUUUGGAGGUUAUUGAAAAUGUUUGCAAAUCUUGCAUGUGGAUUGUACACUAAUAAAUUAAAAUUUUGUUAAACUUGUUAGAUAAACUCCUAUUAUUUG
Non-coding RNA from Oryza sativa Japonica Group (Japanese rice), 779 nucleotides. Lineage: Eukaryota; Viridiplantae; Streptophyta; Magnoliopsida; Poales; Poaceae. The record is from RefSeq and is a predicted model, not a curated record.